UAUGAGUAGAACAAAUGGGGGCAAACCCUAGC
Molecule: non-coding RNA, 32 nt
Filed under: Mus musculus (house mouse)
Lineage: Eukaryota; Metazoa; Chordata; Mammalia; Rodentia; Muridae
Source: RNAcentral